GUGAGUCAAUGCAGGUUUAGCUACAGCCACAGUGAGUCAAUGCAGGUUUAGCUACGGCCACAGUGAGUCAAUACAGGUUUAGCUACGGCCACAGUGAGUCAAUGCAGGUUUAGCUACGGCCACAGUGAGUCAAUACAGGUUUAGCUACGGCCACAGUGAGUCAAUGCAGGUUUAGCUACGGCCACAGUGAGUCAAUACAGGUUUAGCUACGGCCACAGUGAGUCAAUGCAGGUUGGAUGUUUAUGACAGUGACAUUCUUUAAGACAGUCCCAAAUGGCACCCUAAUCCCUACAUACUACACUCCCUUUGACCAGAGCCCCAU
This is a long non-coding RNA of Coregonus clupeaformis (lake whitefish), 322 nucleotides long. RefSeq lists it as uncharacterized. The record is from RefSeq and is a predicted model, not a curated record. The transcript is spliced from 3 exons. NCBI's taxonomy places the organism in Eukaryota, Metazoa, Chordata, Actinopteri, Salmoniformes, Salmonidae.